Molecule: ribosomal RNA, 253 nt
Filed under: uncultured bacterium
Lineage: Bacteria
Description: partial 16S ribosomal RNA
Rfam family: Bacterial small subunit ribosomal RNA
Source: RNAcentral
UACGUAGGGUGCAGGCGUUAUUCGGAAUUACUGGGCGUAAAGCGUGCGUAGACGGUUAUUUAAGUCGGGUGUGAAAGCCCCGGGCUCAACCUGGGAAUUGCAUUCGAGACUGAAUAGCUAGGGUACGGUAGAGGGAAGUGGAAUUUCCGGUGUAGCGGUGAAAUGCGUAGAUAUCGGAAGGAACAUCAGUGGCGAAAGCGACUUCCUGGACCAGUACCGACGUUCAGGCACGAAAGCGUGGGGAGCAAACAGG